UGAGAUAAAAAGACCCUCUAGGACGCCGCUGCUUGCUUUCUUCGCUGAGGUCGGCUUCCGAUACCCUAACAGUACAAGCCCAACAUCCCCUACGAAAUGGUAAUAAAAUCUUCCUCUUCUCCCUCCGAUUCGAUUGUACUCGAGGUUUUGAUAUCUGAUCUCUCCUUUUAUUCUCAGGACUGGUGCCGAAGAAGGAGAAGGCUCCUCCCCCGUCUUCCAGGCCGGCCAAAUCCGGUGGAGGGAAGCAAAAGAAGAAGAAGUGGAGCAAGGGAAAGCAAAAGGAGAAGGUGAACAAUGCUGUGCUCUUCGAUCAGGCGAGCUAUGAUAAGAUGCUCUCCAAAGUUCCAAAGUACAAGCAGAUCACUCCCUCCGUGCUGUCUGAAAGAUCAAGGGUAAAAGAUCUCAUCUUUAUUAUCGACCUGUUCUUUAUUUCUGGAUUUAGUCAUGAUAUAUGAGUAUCUUUGGGCCGCAGGAGCUCUUCAAAUCCCUAAGGGUUCGCGAGGAUUCACCAUUAGCUCUUCACCAUUAGACACUCCAGCUCUGGGAUUCGAGGCCAAGGGUUGCGUUGGUUCGAUCUCGGCAUCUUGAGUCAAAGGUUUCUUGCUGUUAUAAAAAAUCCGAAGGUAGAUUUAUUUAAUGAUCGCCCUUAUGCUUUUUUUUUUUGGUAUUUUGUUUCUCAGCAUCAGCAUUGCAUUCCCCUGUUGCUGGUGCAUAUAUUUUUUCUUGUGCAUCAUGAGAUGAAGAUAGAAAAUUGUUUUCUCUAUGAGAAGAAGUGCAUUAUAGAUAUUGCUUCCUGCUAAUUUCUAGAAGAGUCAUGUA
Non-coding RNA from Phoenix dactylifera (date palm), 819 nucleotides. Lineage: Eukaryota; Viridiplantae; Streptophyta; Magnoliopsida; Arecales; Arecaceae. The record is from RefSeq and is a predicted model, not a curated record.